This is a non-coding RNA of Schistocerca cancellata (South American locust), 73 nucleotides long. Lineage: Eukaryota; Metazoa; Arthropoda; Insecta; Orthoptera; Acrididae. The record is from the annotation of a RefSeq genome assembly.
UGUCUGGAUGGCUUAGAGGUCAAAGCAUCUGCCUAUUAAGCAGGAGAUCCAGGUUCAAAUCCUGGUCUGGCAA